This 1497-nucleotide long non-coding RNA is filed under the name Homo sapiens (human). Its description in RNAcentral is "downregulated RNA in cancer, inhibitor of cell invasion and migration". The record is from RNAcentral. Lineage: Eukaryota; Metazoa; Chordata; Mammalia; Primates; Hominidae.
AGAAGAUUCUAGCUGUUCAGGGUCUGUGAGGAGGAGUCAAGGUCUGGGGUUUGUGUCCUCUGGCAUAGCAAUGGCACUGCAAUGGGGGAGCCUGUUGCUGGGCUGGGCCAUCUCGCCACUGUCACCUGCCUGUUGAGGGGUGACGGUGGUUGUUGAGAGGCUGGAUCAGACCCCAGAGGUGACAUGGAUGUGGCAUAUUUGUUGGACUUACACAGCCUUGCAUUUUAUUUUCAUCUCUGUUCCUUCCUCCCAUGAGAUCUUGGGUGGUGUUUAUCAACCCUGAGUAAUCGUUUCUUUGUCUGCAAGAUGGAAUAAAAAGGCCUACCUCAUUGGGCUCGUGUGGGUGAGGAGAACUGAAGAGUCUGAGAGCGCGGCACGAGCCAGAGGCUACGGAAAACACUGCCCUCCUACACUCCACCUUGGAGAGACCCAGAAAAGAACAAGCUUCAUUUGUAAAAAAGGAAAACAACUCAGGCAAUGGGGGUGGCUUAAAUAUUGUGAAACCAGCAACUUGUUCACAAUUCUUCUGAAUUUCUUGGGAAAUUUGAAGUGGAGUACCUGUACCAACAUGAAAUGACACGAAUUUAAGUGACGCUCAACAACGAAAAGCAAAAAGAACCAAAGAGGAAGCAACUGAAACAACAUCUGGAUGUAUUUAAAAAUAUACAAUGCCUCCAAAAUCAGGUGUCAUUAAUGAAAAUUCUGAAGAAAUGCCACCGGACAUAGCCAACGCACCUACGCUGUUGUUAUUCAUUUCCUGCUUUUCACAGAAAACAAUUUUGUUGCAUGGAAGAUCGUGAACUUCAAAGGGCAGAGGGGAAACUGUCCCUUGGCCUCUACCCCUCCAAGGCCCCACUUUUUUGUCAACACUCCUUGGACGCAGCAGAAGUAUGAACAUAAUAUGGUCCUGAAUGAGGCUGAGUCUUUGGGCGCAGAAGACCCGGGUUAAUAAAAAUAGGAAGGUAAGAAAAGAAAAGAAAAAUCAAGACACAUCAUAGGACUAAAUUCCUAUUAUUUAUCCACUCAGGAUUGACCACCCCUUUGGGCCAGAUAGUUGUACCCCCAUGUACCAGGUGGGCACAUGAAGACACAAGAAGUGCUGUGAUGGUUCAUUUUGCACGUCACCUUGCGUGGAGUAUGCCAACUCAUUGUUUGGUCAAACACUAGUCUGGACAUGGUGGUAAAGGUAUUUUUUAGAUGAGAUUAACACUUAAAUCAGUAAAGCAGGUUACCCACCAUACUACGGGUGGGCCCUGUCCAAUCAGUUGAAGGCAUUAAGAACAAAGAUUGAGGUUUCCUAAAGAAGAUGGAAUUCUCCUUGAGACUACAACAUAGAAACCCUAUCUGAGUUUCCAGCCUGUUGCCCUGUGGAAUUCAAACUCAGGACUCCGGUCUAUGACAUUAACCCUCACUUAACUUUUCAGCCUGCCAGCCUGCCCUAUGGAUUUCGGACUUGCCAGCCACACAAUUCCUUAAAAUAAAUCUCUCCGUCUCUGU